AUUGAACGCUGGCGGCAGGCCUAACACAUGCAAGUCGAGCGGAUGAAGGGAGCUUGCUCCUGGAUUCAGCGGCGGACGGGUGAGUAAUGCCUAGGAAUCUGCCUGGUAGUGGGGGAUAACGUCCGGAAACGGGCGCUAAUACCGCAUACGUCCUGAGGGAGAAAGUGUGGGAUCUUCGGACCUCACGCUAUCAGAUGAUCCUAGGUCGGAUUAGCUAGUUGGUGGGGUAAAGGCCUACCAAGGCGACGAUCCGUAACUGGUCUGAGAGGAUGAUCAGUCACACUGGAACUGAGACACGGUCCAGACUCCUACGGGAGGCAGCAGUGGGGAAUAUUGGACAAUGGGCGAAAGCCUGAUCCAGCCAUGCCGCGUGUGUGAAGAAGGUCUUCGGAUUGUAAAGCACUUUAAGUUGGGAGGAAGGGCAGUAAGUUAAUACCUUGCUGUUUUGACGUUACCAACAGAAUAAGCAACGGCUAACUUCGUG
RNAcentral lists this ribosomal RNA (484 nucleotides) under uncultured bacterium. RNAcentral describes it as "partial 16S ribosomal RNA". It matches the Rfam family "Bacterial small subunit ribosomal RNA", at positions 30 to 507 of the family's 1533-position model. The record is from RNAcentral.